AUACGGAGGGUGCGAGCGUUAAUCGGAAUUACUGGGCGUAAAGCGCGCGUAGGCGGUUAGAUAAGUCUGAUGUGAAAGCCCUGGGCUCAACCUGGGAAUGGCAUUGGAUACUGUUUAACUAGAGUGCAGGAGAGGAGAGUGGAAUUCUCGGUGUAGCGGUGAAAUGCGUAGAUAUCGGGAGGAACACCAGUGGCGAAGGCGGCUCUCUGGACUGACACUGACGCUGAGGUGCGAAAGCGCGGGUAGCAAACAGGAUUAGAAACCCCGGUAGUCC
This 274-nucleotide ribosomal RNA is filed under the name uncultured bacterium. RNAcentral describes it as "partial 16S ribosomal RNA". It matches the Rfam family "Bacterial small subunit ribosomal RNA", at positions 523 to 796 of the family's 1533-position model. The record is from RNAcentral.